Daphnia pulicaria is the source of this 997-nucleotide long non-coding RNA. RefSeq lists it as uncharacterized. Lineage: Eukaryota; Metazoa; Arthropoda; Branchiopoda; Diplostraca; Daphniidae. The transcript has 4 exons. The record is from RefSeq and is a predicted model, not a curated record.
CAAAAUCACUUUGUCAAUGGUUGUCGCUUGCCACUUGUCAUUACGUAUGAAAUGGAGAGAAACACUGAAAGAAACAUCAUCUUUAGUUGACGUUUCAUUUCUUCAACUGGCACACUGAGAGGAGGCCCUGGGUAUUGUGACUGUUCAUAUUGUAUGGUAUGAAUCAGAUAGCCAAAAUUUUCAUUAAGCACACUUUUCAGCAGCUUUGCAUACCUUGAGUUGAAGGGGAGAAAAAUUUUGCUUUAAAACUACAAUGAAUUGGAAAACUUACAUCAUUAUUUUUUACUUGUCUCUAUCUUCAGCCAAUAGAGCAACUAGAGACCCACGGUCCCAUAUUCCAUCAAACUUGCCACACAUUUCUGGAUUCAAGGCAAAUAAAUCACAGUAAUAGAUUUUAAGGCGCCCGUCAUCAUUCUAGGAAGAACAAAAUAAUGUAGGUUACACCUUGCUCUUUGAAAAAUUCCAAGAUUGGUUUUUCUACUCCAUCUACUCCAACAACUUCAUGUCCUAGGUCAUAAAGCCUAAUUUAAAAACAAAUGUUUUUAGAAACUCAUUAACUUCGGUUUUGUGCCAAGGUGCGUCUUCGGCUUGCCACCUUUUCGACCAAUAUUCGACACGUUCUUCCAUCUCGAAAAUUUGCUUGUGAAUGCCGAACAAGCGCUGUGUCUCAGCGUGAAUUCGGGUAGAAUAGAGGAGUUCCGUCGCUUACGGGCGAAGUACCCAAAAACUCAGAAAGGUUCCGUUUUGGGGGAUGAGAGAAGCCUGGAGGUAUGGGGAGUAAAUUUGGUGCUAGACUGAAAAAACCUCUUUUCUAUUCUUUCUACCAUGUUACAGUACAAUUAUUAUGGAGGUGGACAUCAUAGCUCACGUUAUUUAAAGUCAAUGUUCGCAUUGCUAUUGCGUCCCAUAGUUUGAGGCGCAAUAGGUGUAACCGUGAUAUUAUGCCUCCAUAUUUACCGUUAUUUAGCAGAAAUGGAAAUAAAAGAAGGAAAAAUUA